This 460-nucleotide ribosomal RNA is filed under the name uncultured bacterium. RNAcentral describes it as "partial 16S ribosomal RNA". It matches the Rfam family "Bacterial small subunit ribosomal RNA", at positions 338 to 795 of the family's 1533-position model. The record is from RNAcentral.
CCUACGGGCGGCAGCAGUGAGGAAUUUUGGUCAAUGGACGAGAGUCUGAACCAGCCAAGUAGCGUGAAGGAUGACUGCCCUAUGGGUUGUAAACUUCUUUUAUAUGGGAAUAAAAUGUUCCACGUGUGGGAUUUUGUAUGUACCAUAUGAAUAAGGAUCGGCUAACUCCGUGCCAGCAGCCGCGGUAAUACGGAGGAUCCGAGCGUUAUCCGGAUUUAUUGGGUUUAAAGGGAGCGUAGGUGGAUUGUUAAGUCAGUUGUGAAAGUUUGCGGCUCAACCGUAAAAUUGCAGUUGAAACUGGCAGUCUUGAGUACAGUAGAGGUGGGCGGAAUUCGUGGUGUAGCGGUGAAAUGCUUAGAUAUCACGAAGAACUCCGAUUGCGAAGGCAGUUCACUGGACUGCAACUGACACUGAGGCUCGAAAGUGUGGGUAUCAAACAGGAUUAGAUACCCCAGUAGUC